GGCUCGUAAUAUGGAUUUAGUCAGGAGCUUGGGGGCUGAUGAGGUUCUUGACUACAAAACUCCUGAUGGGGUGGCUCUCAGGAGCCCUUCUGGUCGCAAAUACGAUGUAAUCAUUCAUUGCGCACACAACAUUCCUUGGUCUACCUUUGAGGCUAACUUGACUUCAAAAGGAAAGGUAGUAAAUACCACUCCUGGUAUCUGUACUGUGAUGAGUGCUGCUGCGAAAACGAUUAAAUGCUCGAAGAAGCAACUCAUACCCUUGUUUACCUCACCUAAGAAAGAGAACCUUGAUUUUCUUGUUAAUUUGGUGAAAGCAAGAAAGCUUAAGCCAAUAAUCGAUUCAAAGCAUCCUCUAAGUAAGGCUGAAGUGGCUUGGGCCAAGAGCAUUGAUGGCCAUGCCACUGGCAAGAUUCUUGUGGAGCCCUAGUUUAUGAAGAUUAGUUGAUGCAUACACUAAUUUUAUAAUUUUUCAGUGAGUUCGGUUGCUUAUGAGCCAUCUGUAUAUGUUGGUAUGUGAGGAGUUUUUUUCCAACUAUGUUGUGUGUGAUGUAAUGUUAUUGAGCAUUGUGUCUUGUUAUGAAAUUUAUUUAUUUAUUUUUUGUUUUAUGUAAUUUGAAUUAAAGAUGAUAUUAUGGAUAAUUAGACACUUUGUUUAUGUAGUAAUGCUUAAAUAAUUAUACCAAUAGCGACAGUUUCAUACAAUUACUUCUCUAAAUAUUAUUAUUAGUGUAAAGUAAAAUUUGAUGAGCAGAGUUAAGAUACUAACACGUAUGAUUUUAUUUAUUUUUAAAUAUAAUUCAAACCACACUUAUCAUCUAAAACUUAAAUUAUUGAUUUUUUUUCUUUCCAUUAGCAAUAUAUAUAUAUGAUAAUAAUCUAUAUAUUAAUUCUCAAAAUGUUUUUAUUUAUUUUUAAUAUUAAAUUAUCUUAUUGCUCACAUAUUUUAAGGUUUAAAUGGAUAAUUUAGUCUACCCUUAACACUUUUUUGAUUGAUAUGGUCAAGUGUAUUUUUGUCUAAAAGUUUUUAAUUAAAUUUGUUGAAGUAAUUAUGUGAGCAGUGACAUAUGUAUGCAGUGCUAUAAGCACCAAGACAACAAUAUAUCUUUCAUUCUUUGUGUUAGCAAUUUUUUGGAGCAAAAUCAUUGGGUUAUAAGUCUUGCUAAUAUUGUGGAAGUAUGAUAGUCAAUUGAUGAGGAACGAUCCUUUUGAAGCAACAUUACUUGAUGAAUGGACUGGAUCGAGUCAAGCAAUCGAAUUUCUUAAAAUAAGAAGUUUGGAUUAGUACUGAAUUGAAGACUUAUCUCCAAUGAUUCUACAUUAUCUUGAACUUUAUUAAUAUAUUGUGUAUGCUAUUUUAGUUGUAGUCUUCUAAGGGAAUUGAAUGUAAUUGAACUAGUCUAUUAGUAAGUAUUGAAGUUUUAUAUAUUUGAAGAGACUUACCAAAAUCCGAUUUUUGGGCACGACAAUAAUUUGUAUUCUCAAAUGAUAGCGGUAGGAUUUGCAACCAUUGUGGAAAUUUCAUUUUCCUUGCGAUUAAUAUCUUACUCACAAGGGGCAGAAGUCGCAAAAUCUCAUAAUUUACAAUCAAUUCAUUCAAUAUUUCUUUUUUUAGAUGACAAAUUCUCACAUUUAAAUUAUGUGUUAGAGACACUAAUACCUCAUCUCAUCCAUCUAGAAAUCUUAGUUCAAACCCUUCGCUACUGCGUAAAAGAUGCUUCUUCUUUUCAUUUAUUAUGGUUCUCUCUCUACGAGUAUUGUAAUUUGAAGAGUUUUAUUACUCCAAAGAAAUCUAUUUCGAUUUUGACUCCAAGAUCAUUCUUGUUCCUAUAUAAUUCUCAUACAUGUGAAUACGAAUCCAUUUUCCUUUUUCUCCGUAAUCAAUCUUCUUAUUUACGAUCAACAUCUUCUGGAGUCUUUCUGAAGCAUACAGCUUUCUGGAUGUAGAUGAUGAUAUCUAUACAGAUGGAUUCAUAUAAUUCUUAUAUAUAUUGUACAAUGAAGUACCACAUGAGUGGAUAUAUAGGAUCCAAAUCUGUCGAACCACUCAUGUUAUGAUCUUCUACAUCCUAGGUCUUCUCGUUCUGUCAUCUAGCUUAUGUUCUUCAUGUAGGUAUAGGUUUGAUAUUGAAAGUAUUUAGCGCUUAUUUCUUCAUUAAGGAACAUUAAUAGUGUAAACAAGUUUAUUGUUUGGUUUAUAACCUCUUGAAAGCUUAGAAGUGAGUGAUUUAGAUUUUUAGGUACAAAAGUGAAGUUGUUAUAUUGAGUGUGAUAGGAUUUAAAUCACUUACUAUAUUGGGAUUAAGAAUAAUGGGUUAUCUUGCUUAUGUAGGCUCCACAGAUGUAAGAAAAUAAAAUUUCGUAAAUAAUUCAUUUGUGUUUUUCAUUGUUCUUGUCCUAGUGCCCUUUUUAGUGAGCACUACAACUUGUACUUUCAUUUGGAGAGAUUGUUUUCUUUGAUGGUAGUUUUUAAUAGAAUCUAAUUUUCAUUAUUAGGGCAUGUUGAAAAGACCUUACACUAUCGAGGUCAUAAUUCAUUUUUUCAAGAAUCUCGUACAAUCAUUUGUUGAUGAUGAUGUGAUAUUUGAUGAAAUCAAAAUCAAAUUAUUUUGUUCCAACUUUCUCCUAACACUUUUUAAUACAUUCUUUUUUAGUUUCCUUUUCAAAUUUACAAUAUUUUUAGGUUGUGUUUGAAAAGUCGUCUAAUAAUUGGAUUUGAAUGUAAUUGUUUGUACUUACAUAAAAGUGGCAUGUUUGGGUAACCAUUAUAGUUAGUGGGUCCCAUCGAAUUGGUGUAAUUGGAGAACCUCAAUUACAUUUUCCAAUUUUUUCAUGGGGAAGAGUGAGAAUUGAAGUAAUUACGUAGGUAAUUACACUCAAAUUUGAUUUUAAAUUUUAUUUUUAUAUUAGUUAUAAAAAUUAUAUUAUAAGCAUGAACGCAUAUGAGUGUUUGGGAUGAUUAGAGCCUAAAUUUUCUUAUAUUGUAAAUUUUAAAAAUUAUAUUAUAAAAAUAAUUUGUGUAUUUUAUAAAGUUAUAACAAAAAUUAAAUUAUUUAAAUCUUAAAAAAUUCUAAAGUUGUGUCCAAAAAUUUUAUUAUAAAAAAUAAUUUACAUGUUAUAAAAGUGUUAUAAUAUAUUUAUUUAAAAAGGAAGCUAUGGCCAAGUAUGAACUUAACUUAUUUAUGUGUUCAUGUUAUAUAUUAUAAAAAAUAAUAUACUUAUUCAUAAAAAAAUGUUAAUAGUUUUUUUUUAUCAUAACUUAUUUAUAAAAAAUAACUUUAUAAAGUUGUGACAAAAAAUUAUCUUAUUUAUAAGAAGUGUUAUGAAAGUUUUGAACAAUUUAUAAGAUCUUUUAUAUAAAGGUUAUUUAUAUUUUUUAUUUAAUUUACAUAUUAUAAAGAUGGAUAUAACAUAGCAUUAGUUUUUCUCCAAAUUAAGUUUAUAUAAGUUUUAUAUAAUUAAAGCUAUAAAUUAUUUGGAUUGUGAACUCAAUUAUUUAUAAGGUCGAUGCUAAUUAUACAAAUAGAAAAAUAUUUCUUGCACCAUAUUGUUGUUGGGAUCUAGUGCCCUUAGUGUAGUGGUUUCAUAUCUAUAUGUAUUUGUAAUUUUCAAACAAAUUGGUUUAAUAAAAUAUCCUUCAAUAUCAUUAAUAUAUUCGUAUAUUGUCAUCAACAGCUUAUUCACACAAAACAAAAUGAAAGCAAAUAUUGGCUCAUUGAUUAUCUAAGAUUUAACUAAUACUAAGCAAUAUUAUGUGAUCAGAUUAUAUACGGAAAAACAAUUUAUAUUAGUGGAUAAUCUAAACACGUCAUUAUCCUAGUUAGAAUUGAGCAAAUCAAUUGAAAACCUAAUAUGUCGUCUAUCAAGUCCAAUUGGGGAGAUACUUUGCCUUGGGUAUCGAAACAUGACCACCCGUAACACUCAUAGCACUGUACUCUUUUUUUUUUUUUUGUCUUUCUCUAGCUCCUCGUUGAUAGUAAUUCCCUUUAUCUUUUUUUUUAGGGGCAUUAGAAUUAAUUUCAAACUUUUUGAACCUCCUAGCUUGUUUCUUGAAGUCCUUCUUGGAAUUAUGUGUUAGCAAGAUAAUAUGUUCUUAAAAAGCUCCAAUAGUAGUUACAUUUGAGGAAGUGGGCACAGCCUCAGUGGCUUGAAAGAUUAUGUUUUUAUCUCCCUUACUCCUACCUUGUUUUGCCUCAUCAAGAUUCAUUUCAAAAGUAUGUAAUGAGCUAAUAAGUUCAUCAAUAGCCAACCUCUACAAAUCCUUAGCCUCCUCAACAUUAGUAACUUUUAUAAAUAAAUAAAUAAAACUCUCAAGAAAAGACCUUAGAAUCUUUCUAACCAGCUUUGUAUUAGAGUACUCAUUUUCUAAUACGAAUGCUUGAGUUAAAAGAUCACACAACUUAACAUAGAAUUCUCCAGUAGUUUUGGGUUCCUGCAUUCGAAGACUUUCAAACCUAGAUGCUAACAUUCGCAUCUUCAAUUAUUUGAAAGUUGUAGUACCUUCAUAAGCAAUCUUCAAUAUAUCCCAGGCUGACUUUUCUAAAGCGCAUUUGGAAAUUCUUUUGAAUUCUUAAAGAUCGACUCUGCAUAAUACAACAUAUAGAGCUUUAUUAUUAGCAUUGGCCAGUUUUUCUUCCUCAAUAGUCCACUAAACUUCAGGCUUAACUACUUUCUCAUUUUUAGUGUCAAUCUUUAGGGUUCCCAACCUGUCAAUAGAACACGCCAUACAUUUUCAUCAAUAAACCUAAUGUAUACCUUCAUUUGUGCUUUCCAAUAAGCAUAAUUUCCAACUUCAAGCAUAGGAGGACAAGAUGUAGAAGAACCUUCCAUAAUUUGAAUCUAGAAAUUUUUAGGCUCUCCACUAGUUAUGUUAAAUGGCAGGUUCUAAUGCCAAAUGUAAUUAUAAAACCAUUGCUAGUAAUUAAACUAAGUGCUUAGGAGUGACAUGGAAGUAAGCCCUUCUUUAGCACCAAAUCAGAAAACAGAAAAACAAAUUGAACACACAACGGAGCCUAGCUUAAUGAGAAAUAUCUACUCUCUUCAACGAUUACAACAAAUGAAUCUAAACUAUCACACACCCCGUGAUAAUUCUCCUCAUUUUUUAACAUUAAAGAUUAAUACUCUCACCACUUAGUUCACCCCUAUGAACUCAACAAGUAAAACCACAACACAAAUAAUUUUACUAACAAAUUGUACUCUAAGAAAAAAUCCUUACUUGAACACAAUAAGUGUUUAAAAUCUCUCAAUAUAAUAACCUAUACAAGUCUCACCCUUAAAUAGAUUUAUAUUCGAGACUUGCUAACAUAGAAGAUCUAAAUCAAUCUCAUUAAAACAAUAAUAAUAUAAAUUGCUUACAAUACAAUAGUAGUAGAUAAUACAAAUGUGGACUCUUGGUAGCUAAUCAGAUAAAGUUUCUAUCCAAUCCAAAUGUCCAUGUUGCAAAGAAUUACUUGAGUGAUUUAAUUCGAUCCUAUCUUCAAUAUGAAUUUCCUAAAUAAUAUGACUUUCAUUAUUGGGCUAGAUGUCUUCCAAGUAUUCAGCGCAACCCAUCCAAAUCGUUCAAUAAACUGUCAAUACUCAAAUAUAAAAAUUGUCAUUAAAUAGCUCCAAUGCUGGGGAAGUGGGCACUUCCCUGACACUCAAUGGCCAUUUUCAUAUUUUUCUACAAACAAGAUUUCGAUUUAAACUAAGUAUAAUUCUCAACAACUCAUGGAAUCUAAGCUUCCAUUACACAAUUUUCUCAACCAUGGCAAUUUGAUUAAAACUUAAUAAUUGAAGAAAAAUCUAACACUAAGGUUGGACGUGCUAAGUUAGGAUGGUCAAAAAUUCAUGAAAAUUUCAAAAACAAUCUUCCUUACUUAUGUGGAAUGAUGGACGGCAAUAGCUAGGUAAAAUAUAGGAAAUUUUCUUUCUUUUCUUGAAGCAUGAAUGACAACAUGAAGAAGAUGGUGAUGAUUUUUCAUUUACUUUCUUUCUAAGUUCCCAAUUAUCAUAAUUAAGUAAUGGGCUUCAUUUAUUCAUCAAUGCAAGCUAGAAAUCUAUUAAAAUUUGAAGAGAAAAACCAUCCCUACCCAAGUAUUGGAGAUUCGACAAUGGAGCUAACCUUGAGAGAAAUUUAUUCCUUUCUUUCUUACAAACUUUGGUGAUAAGGACGAGAUCCAAUUUCUUUUUCCUACCAACACACACACAUAUAUAUAUUAGAAAUUUAUCACACACGUAUACAUAUGGAAAUCACGUAUUUAGAAAACAGGUGUGUAUUUAAAAAUAACAUUCAAUAAAUAAUGAAAUCUAAGGUUUGAAACUAAUAAUGAUAACAACACAUAUGCAAUAUGUACAAAAUUAAAAUAAAAAAUAGUUUAACUUGUGAGUAAAAGGAAAUUGAAAUGUAUAAAUAAUUCAUUUAUAAAUCCAUUAAACAUAGGUUCAAUCCCUAGAUAUAUUAAUUUUAGUUCUUUUAUUUAAAAAUUAUAUAAAAGUAUGAAAAGACAAAAAGGGCAUUAAAAUAAUAAUAAUAGUUAUUUAAUAAAAGGGUAUAUUAGUCAUUUUCUAAUCGAGUUGAUAUCUAGUUAACUCGUAACACCAACUCAAUCUAGGGAUUAUUUUAAUAGUGUAUAUAUAAUAUCAUAAUUAAAACUUAAUUGAUUGAAAUCAAUGGUUGAUAGGGGUGAGUGUUCAAUCAAAUCGAGUGAAAAAAAUUCGAGUUAAUUAAGUUGAUGAGUCAUAUUUUUAUCAUCCUAACUCUAUUUGAAAUUUUUUUUUCGAGUUGAGUGAAAUAAAAUUCAAGUUAAGUCAAAUCGAGUGAAAUUAUUCAUUAAAUUAAAAAAUUAAACAUGUCAAAUUAAAAUAUUAUUAUAAUAUAAUUAAUUUCAUGGUAAAGCGCAUAAAUUUGAAAACUUUUUUAAACCAAAAUAAGAAGAAGAAAAAAUACUAAUGAAAUGUCACAAUUUUGUUUUUAUACAUGUCAAAGUGAUGGAAAAAAAUAUCUUUUACAUAUCCACCCAAUUUAGCAACUUUUGGGGAAAUGAUACAAAAAAUAUAUAUUUUUUCACACCAGAAAAAUUGUUUUCUGAUGAAUUGUAUACUGAUUGGAGUUUUAUCAAUGAACUAAAAAGAAGAAAUUUUACUAAGGAGUUUAUAAAAAGAGUCGAAUCUUUUGAUCUGAGCAUACUUGAAAAAAGGACUCGUUUCUCUAGUAAUGAAACUAAAAGAGAUAAACUUGAAUAAUUAAUUAACUUAUUUAAGUCUCAAAUUUAUUAUUUUAGAAAAUAUUUAAAUAUUUAAAUUUCUUUAUAUGUUCUUUAGAAUUUUUUAAAAUUUUUUAAAAAUAUAAAUUUUGAAAUUUUUAUAAAUAUUUUGAAUUUUUUUUGUAAUUUUUGUUGAGAGAGACCAAUUUGCCCAUUUUCAAAAUUGAUAGGGAUCAAGGGGGUAUUUACACCAAUCUGUUAUUCAAAUUGUAAAAUUCAAAUAUACUCGAACUACUUAUUCUAGUUGACUCGAAGAAAAUUAAAUAACUCUAAUAACUUUAUUUGAUUAACUCAAGAUUAAAAUCUUUUAUUUUUAUUUUUCGAAUGGGUGAUGAAAAUCUAAUACAGCAAACAGCGGUGGGAAUGGAUGGAUCAAAGCAUCCGACUUAAUAAUGGGCAUAAUUACCACUUAGAUCUCACUCCAAUUAUUCCUUCAUUUCAUGCUUCUUUAAUACUUUAGUCCUUGGAUAUUUGUAUAAUAACUUAUCAAUUUAAUUAAUAAUCAAUUCUUUUCAAUUAAUUACUAAAUAAUUUUAUUUCUAAUUUAAUUACUAAUAUUUCAAUUUUCUAAUUCUUUACUCGCUUUGUAGUUGUUGGAUAAAAACCUUUGGACAAAAUCGACUUUUCCGACACUAAUAAAAGUCAGUUGUUACAUACUCUCCGCCUUAGCAGGAUUUUUAUUUAUUUUAAAUUAUAAUAAUCAAUAUAAUUAUAUUUUAUUAAUUAUAGAAGUUAAAUAUAAUAUUUUUAAAAUCAGAUCCCCAAAUUGAGUUGUAAGUAAAGGUGCAGAUCAAUCCCUUCAAAUAUAUUAUUUAACAUUAAAAUAAAAAGUAAUAAUAUAUUUUUUUUGGUGCAAACAUAUUACUUAAAUUAAAUCCACUUGAAAGUAAAUAAAUUACUUUAAAUAUGUCAUUUAAAACUAAAUGGCAAAAAAAAAGUAAUAAAAUAAAGGGUAAAUUAUAAAAUAGUUACUUUUGUUUGCCUAAGAUUAUAUUGUAGUCACUUAUGUUUGAAAUAUUACGUUUUAGUUACUUACGUCAUCGUUUUAUUACGAAGUUAUCACUCUACCAUUAAACUCUGUUACCUUCCUAACAGCAGUCCAAAUGGGUUUUAAAUGUCAACUUAGAUGUCCUACAUGACAGUCUAAAUUAAAACCUAUUUAAAACCCAAAUUGGCAUUUAAAACCUUAUUUGAACUGCCAUAUAGGACUGCCGUUAGGGAGGUAACAGAGCUUAAUAGUAGAAUGACCACUUUGUAACAAAACGAUAACAUAAGUGACUAAAGCGUAACAUUUCAAACAUAAGUGACUAAAAUGUAAUCUGAGGUAAAUAAAAGUGACUAUUUUUAUAAUUUACCCUAAAAUAAAAUUUUCUUAACUGGGUCAAAGAUGUAUACCGAAUCAAUUUGUAAGUUGUCAUGCAUACCGUCAUCUUUGAAUACAAAUUCUGAAAAAUAAGAAACUAAAAAUAUAUCUUUUGAAUUUUAAAUUCUUUUAAAAUGUAACAUUUAAAAAAUUAAAAAUAUUUAAAUAAAAUAUUUUAUUAGAAUAAAAAAAGAAAGAGAAAAACUUGCUGUAUAGAUAUAGAUUUCUUUUAUAUAAAUUAAUUAUGAGGAUUUUUUUGUCCCUCUAAUUUUAAAAAAAAUUAUUUUAGCUCUUCAUUUAAUUUUUUAUCCUUUUUAGUUCUUAAAUUUAUAUUUUUUAUCGAAUUACCUCAAAAUAGAUGUAAAAAUUAACGUGUGUAUAUAUAUAUAUAUGUGAAUAACACGUAAGCAUUUAAUUAAAAUUUUAACAUUUUAAAAAUUCAAAAAAUUAUUUUUAAAAAUAAAAAAAAUCAUCACAAUUAUUAAAAAAUUUUAAAUUUAAAAAAUUAAUUAAAUGUUGACAUAUCAUCCACGUAUAUACCACAUCAGCAAAGUUAACAAAAGUUAACAUUUUCAUUCAUUUUGGGGUGAUUUGACAAAUAAUACAAGUUCAAUGGCUAAAAAAACUAAAAAUUAAAUAAAGGACUAAAAUGACCUUUUUGUAAAAUUAGAAGACCAAAAAAAAUCAUUAUACCUUUUUUUUUUAUGUGUAACAGCAUAGAUAUAGAUUUUGUAUUUGCAGGUGUUAGCCUCUGUUGAAGUGUAGGCAUGUGCGUGAGAGGAGUCAAAUCUGGUAAGUAACAACGAAGAAGCAUCAAACACAACUCCCUUUUUCCUUAUGAUAGGUCAAAGUAAAAAAUGUAGCCAUGUGAUAGAUCAGGAAAAAUAUACCAUAUAAGUUUUUUUACUCUUCACAAAUUUAAAUUUUAGUUUUUGUAUUUUUUUUUUAAGAAUUUAGUCUUUCUAUUUUUUAGAUUUCAAAAAUUCAAGUUCAAUUGUCAACUCUAUUAUUAUUUUUUUGUUCAAUUUAAAAAUACUUAUUAAAAAUAUAGAAAUUUAUUUAAAUUUUAUUAAAAAUUAUAAGAAAUUACAAAAAGUAUUGUAAAUUAUUAAAAGUAUAUAAAAUUACAACAAUUUUUUAGUAUUUUAAAAUUAUUAAAAAAUAUUUUUUGGACUUUUUUAAAUUUUAAAACAUUUGCUCAGGUGGCAUUUUAUCAUGUUAGCAAAAGGUACAUGUCCUACUUGCUUCAUUAGUCAGUCAUCACUUAAUGAUACAGAUGGAUGAAAUUUUAAAAAAAAUGAUCAGUUUGCUCUUUAAUCUAACAAAUAGGAGUUAAUCUGUCCAUUUUUUAAUAGAGAGGAAAAAUAUAAUCUAAUUCUUAGUAUAAGGAUCCUCAUGGUAGUUUUACCAUUUAUCCAACCACAUCAAUUACAACAAAACUAAAUGUGAGCAAAAUCCAAUUCGGCUUGAAAAAACAACAAAAAAAAGUCAAAUUUUAAAUUAAGUAGUUCAAAUAAUUCGAUUUGCUCAAGUUAUUUGGGUCAACUCGAAUAAGAAAACUGCAUAAUUCAAUUUAGAUCAAAUAUAAAUUACAAAACUCGAAUUAUCCGAAAAAGAAAAACCAAAACAAUGUGGUUUUAGUAAAUUUAUGUUUUAACUUUCCCAAAGUUAAAACCCGUCGAUGCUUUGCCCGUACACUUCCUUCCCACACUUUCACUUUUCCUUCAUUCAAAAUUUAACGACAUGUUUGGUUCAAUGGAAUGGAAUAGGUUUGUAAUGGAAUAGUCAUUCUGUGGGAAUGGAAUAAGGUUGUAAUGGAAUUGAAUAGGCAUAACAGUGGUGUGGUUUGGUUGGAAUGGAAUGAGUAUUGUAAUAGUACUCAUGUGUUUGGUUGAGAGGAAUAGAUAUGUAAUAGCAAAAAAAAAAAACUCGAACAAUGAAUAUGCCCUUUAAUAUUUUAAUGUAUUUCUCACAUCAAUUUAAUAUUAAAGAAUAAUAUUUUCUAUCAAAACAAUAACAAUUUAAUAUAAAAUAUCUCUAAACCCUAAACCCUAAAUAUUUUAUAUUAAAUUAUAUUAAAAGAUCUUUUAUUUUCUCCACUUUCUUCAUCUUCGUUGGUCCCCUUUCUCUCCCCAAAUUCAUCUUCAUCUUCAUCUUCAUCUUCCUCUCAAACUUUUUACUUUGAACUUCAUCAACUCUUUGUUCAAAAAGCAUAUCUAUUCAAAAAUAUUUUAAUUGUUAUAUCAAAAUAAUUUAUCAAAUAAAGCUUAGUACAACAAUAACCUAGAUCUACAAAGAUUCUGUAUCAAAAUUUCUCUUCUUCUUUUUUUGUUUAUUUUGUUUACUAGUAUUGUUAAAGAGCUUUCAAAAUAAAAAUAUUGUUAAAGAAGUAGCACUAACUUAAUUCAACCAUCAUUUUAGCAUCUAAAUAACAUAGCAAACCAUGGUCAUCUUUCAAGAGUCCAAUUACAGUAGAAAACUCAUUUACAUGCAUACAAAAAGUGACAAUAUUAGUAUGACAUACUUCCAUGUCAUUAUAUCAUCCGGCAAUUACAUGCAACAAGUGACAACCUACAAUUACAUACAAAAAGUUAUAUUAGUUCACCACCACAUCCAUUUACACAUACACAAUGUGACAACCCUUUAUGGCAUACAAAAAGUUAUAUUCAUCCACCACAACAACCACAUCUUUAAUGGGUAGAAAUAAAUUUUCUCGUCUAUGCUAAUCGCAUAGAAGGUGGUAGAGUUAGGAAAAUAAGCAUUUGCGUUGGAUGAUCACGAAUUUUUAUCAAUGCAUCAAUUCGCUCAUCAUAUGACCUUCUAUUUCACCUAAAGUCACGUGGAAAGUUUGUACCUUUUCUUAACUGAUCAUUUCUGACUUCUGUUGAAUGAGCACUUUGGAGGCAACGCUCCUACUUAAUUAAAGGUCAAUUGUUCUUAUAGUAUCCCCCAAUAAUGUGGCAGCAUCGAUAAGUGAAGUAGAAGAAUUUGGUUCACUAGCUUUAGAACUCUUUUUCUUCUUCUUUGGAAAUGUAGAAUCAACUUUAUUUAGAUUAGAUUGUUGCGAUUGUGUAGCCGAGACAUCCAUCUCAUCUAAAGAAACAUCAACUUCGCAUUCAUUGUCAUUACUUCCUUCUUCAGGAUUCCUUUCAUUGGCAAUAUCCUCAGCACGUAAUUCUUUUAAAAUAUCACCAGUUGCUUGAGCAUAUUUCCCCGUGGUUCGAUCUUUUGUGUAUAUGGAAGUAAGUUGCUUAUAAUAACGGAAACUUCGAGCUCUAUAAAAAAAGAUUUCAUAACCAUUAUAUACUAUAUGUGUUAGAAGUUGUGUGACCCAAAUUCUUGUUAAAAAUAAAAUACAAGUGGCAAGAUAGGGGGAUCUACGAGGGCAAAGGCCAAGGGUCGAAUAAGGUGUUUUAAUCUUACUGCAUUACUUCUAUUUGAUUUUGAUUAGAAUAUGGUUUUACAAACUUAUAAAUAAAUGCAAUAACUUUUUUUCUCCUCUACCGUUGAUUUUUUCCCCAAAAAGGUUUUCAUGUAAAAUUUUGUGUGUUCUAUUUUCUCUCUUUCUUCGCAAUUCAUUGUCAUUAUCGAUGUUCUAUUUUCACAAAUUGGUAUCAAAGCUUUCCAGGUUACUUAUUUCGAUUACGAAAAUCGCGUCAUUGAAGUAUGAAAUUUCGUUGUUGGAUCGCAACACUAGAUUAGUGUUGUGACAAAUAAAUAUGCAGGCAGUUCUUGCGCAGAUGGAUUUGGAGGAUGCCCUGCUAGGGAUAAAUAAGAUGCCUUCAAUGUUAACGAAGGAAGAAAAGAAGCGUAAAGAUCGAAAGGCUUUGACACAAUUACAUCUGCACUUGUUGAACGAAAUUCUGCAGGAUGCGAUGAAGGAAAAGACUACUACUACAUUAUGGGCAAAACUGUAGCAACUAUGCAUGUCGAAAACCCUGACUAGUAAGUUACAUAUGAAGCAUCAUCUUUAUACUCAUCGUUUAGAGGAAGGUGCGUCUAUGCACAAACACUUAAUUGUGUAUAAAGAAAUUCUCUCGAACUAGAGGCCAUAGAGGUUCAGUAUGAUAAAUAAGAUCUAAGGUUGAUUCUACUUUCUUUCUUUCCCCGUCUUAUUCAACCUUUAGAGAAAUGAUUUUGUAUAGUUGUGAAUCUCUCACAGUUGAUAAGGUCGAUACUUAUUUAACCUCGUAUGACAAGAUGAAACAUCUUGUGGAUGGAUUCGACUCUCAAUGAGAGGGUCUCACUGUUCAUGAGAGACAAGAACGAAAUACUGAUGAUGAUCGUGGGAGGACAAAGGAUCGAAAUCCUCGCAAUAAAUAUAAGGGUAGAUUGAGAUCUUCAAACAGAGGUAAAACUUUUAACUUCUGCAAGAAAAAAUGACACAUUAAAUCUAAGUGUUAUAAGUUACAAAAUAAGAUCAAAAUAGAGGCUGCGAAUCAAAAGGGAAAACAACUAGAAAAAUUUGGUGAAGUUGAUGUUGUAGAAUACUACAGCGAUGGUGAACUCUUAGUUGCUUCUGCGAACAAUUCUAAAGUGGAUGAGGAGUGGAUUCUUAACUCUAGCUGCACCUUCGAUAUGAGUCCGAAUCAGGAUUGGUUUACAACUUAUGAAAUAGUGUUUGAAGGUGUUAUUUUGAUGAGAAAUAAUACUUCAUGGAAAAUCAUAAGUGUUGGCACAAUCAAAAUCAAGAUGUUCAAUGGAGUCAUUAGAACACUUAGUGGCGCACGACAUGUACCAGAAUUGACGAGAAAUUUGAUUUUAUUGGGUACUCUUGAUUCAAAAAAAAUAAAUACACAACUGAAAGUGGGGUUCUAAAGAUUAGCAAUGAUUCCCUCGUUGUGAUGAAAAGGCAGACAAAAACUGCCAAGUUAUAUGUAUUGCAGAGUUCUACUAUUACUGGUGAUGCAACUAUCACUUCCUCUUCCUUGUCAAAUGAUGACGUUACUAGACUUUGGCAUAUGCAUCUAGGGCAUUGAGAAAAAGACUCCACAAGAGGUAUGGUCUGGUAAUCCUACUGAUUAUUCUAAUUUAAAGAUUUUGGGGUGUCUUGCGUAUACUCAUGUUGAUAACAGAAAAUUGGAACCGAGAUCUAUUAAAUGUGUUUUUCUUGGUUAUAAGACUAGUGUAAAAGGGUAUAAGUUAUGGUAUCCUAAAAAUAAAAAAGUUGUGAUUAGUAGAGAUGUUAUUUUUCAUGAAACUGUUAUGCUGCCUAAUUUAUCUCUUAAAGACUCUUCAAAUAAAGAAACAUAAAAGUAUAUGGAGCUUCAGAUUGAUCUAGUAUCUACAACAAAGUCGACCCCUCAAGUUAGUACAGAACUUCAGAACAGAGUCGCUUCUUCACCACAAUAUUCUAUUGCCAAAAAAGAACUAAAAGAUAAAUUAAACCUCCAAAGAGGUAUGCCAAGGCUGAUCUAAUUGCUUAUGCUUUAAAUGUGACUGAAGAUAUAAAUGCAAAUCAAUAACCAUCUACUUAUUCUAAGUGCUAACUCAAAAAAGUGGAUGUUUACCAUGCAAGAAGAGAUAGAAUCACUCUACAAGAAUAGAACAUGGGAUCUUGUGAAGCUUCUUAAAGUUAAGAAGGUUGUUCGUUGUAAAUGAGUGUUCAAGAGAAAAGAAGGGACUCUAGGAGUUGAAGAACCCAGAUAUAAAGUAAGGCUUGUUGCAAAGGGUUAAAAUCAGAUUCAAGGUGUGGACUUCACAAAUGUGUUUUCUUCAUUUGUGAAGUACAGUUCAAUUCAAGUCUUGCUUGGUAUUAUGGGCAUGUAUGAUUUGGAGCUCAAACAGUUAAAUGUAAACAUAACGUUCUUACAUGGAGAACUUGAGGACAUUUACAUGUAAUAACUAGAAAGGUUUACAGUCUCAGAAAAAUAAGACUAUGUUUGAUUGCUGAAAAAGUCCCUUUAUAGCUUGAAAUAGUCACCAAGGCAGUGGUACAAAAGGUUUGAUUCUUUUAUGUCUACUCAUAAUUCCAAAAGAAGUAGCUUUGAUAGUUGUAUUUAUUUUAAGAAAAAUAGUGAUGGUUCUUUUGUGUAUCUACUCCUCUAUGUUAAUGACAUGUUGAUAGUAGCAAAAGAUAAAUGAGAGAUAAGAAAUGUCAAAGCCCGGCUUAGUGAAGAAUUUGAGAUGAAGGAUUUGGGAGUAGCAAAGAAGAUACUUGGUAUGAAGAUUCUAGAAAUAGGAAAGCAAGUAAAUUGUACCUAAGUCAAAAAGGGUACAUUGAGAAAGUUCUUUGCAGGUUCAAUAUGUAGAGUGUUAAGCUUGUUAGUACUCCUUUAGCAGCCUAUUUCAGACUAUCAUCGACUUUGGCUCUACAAUCAGAUGAUGAGAUUGACUACAUAUCACAUGUUCUAUAUUUUAGUGUAGUGGGAUCUCUUAUGUAUGCUAUGACUUGUUCAAGUCUAGAUUUAUCAUAUGCAGUCAGUGCAGUUAGUAGAUACAUGGUGAAUCCCGAUAAAGAAUACUAGAAAGAAGUUUAGUGGAUUUUGAGAUACGAGAUACUACUGAUGUUUGCUUACAUUUUGGAAGAAAUAGAGAUGGAGUCAUUAGGUAUGUUGAUGCUAAUUUUGCUGGAGACCUUAAUAAAAGAAGAUCUCUUACAAGUUAUGUCUUACGAGGUACUAAUUGGGGGUUGUGCAAUCAGUUGGAAAGCCACUUUGCAAAUUACUAUCGCUUUGUCUACCACUGAAGCUGAGUACAUGGCGAUUACUGAGGCUCGUAAAGAAGCUGGUUAAAGGGGCUCUUUAGUGAACUCAAUGAAGACUUUCAAAUCAGUACAGUAUUUUGUGACAGUCAAAGUGUCACCUUCCUUACGAAUGAUCAAAUGUUUUAUGAGAGAACAAAGUACAUUGAUGCUCGGUAUCAUUUUGCUCGUGAUAUUAUUGCUCGUGGUGAUAUUGUUGUGAGCAAAAUUAGCACUCAUUAUAAUCCUGCAGAUAUGAUGACUAAGUCACUUUUUAUAACCAAGCUUGAGCAUUACUUAGAUUUGGUUGGUGUUCAUUGUUGAAGAUAAACCCUUAAGGGGUUUCAUGGAAGAAGUGGAGAACUUGUUCGUUGAGAGUUCGUGAUAAAGAAAUUGUUUGUUGAGAAAUUGUUUGUUGAGAAAUUAUUUACCUAAAUUCCUGUUAAAAUUAAAAUACAAGUGGCAAGAUAGGGGGAUUUACAAGGGCCAAGGCCGUAGUUUAUUGUAGAUCCCUAAUAAGAAAAAUACUGGACUAGGGUCCCAACUGGGGGUACGGGGGCCUUUAGCCCCCGCAGUACGGUACAAGCUGCACAAGUGAAAUCUGCAUUGAAAUUUACUUCCUCUAUUUGAUGUUGAUUAGAAUAAGGUGUUUUAACCUUACUGCAUUACUUCUAUUUGACUUUAAUUAGAAUAAGGUUUUUAAACCUAUAAAUAGACGUGUUCAUCUAUCCUCUUGCAUCAUUCAAAUUCAACAUAGUGAAUUUUCUUCUCCUCUACCCGUGGUUUUUUUCCCAAAAGGAUUUCCACGUAAAAUUCUGUGUGCAUUCUAUUUUCUUUCUUUUUUUGCGUUUCAUUGUCAUUAUUUUCAUUCAAUUUCAUUAUUGUCUUUUCCUCUAAGCAUAUUGUAAAUGAUUGUUCAAUCCUUCUUCAAUGUCUUAAUCAUUGAUUCAAGAUUAGGUUUAUCCUUUAGCAUUGCAGGAGGUAAAACUUUUUCAAUCAUUCUCUCCAAUUCAAGUAAAUAACCAGCCUUGAAUCUCGUACCUGCAUUAAAAGUUCCAUCGUUGUGUAAGUCUACUUCAUUUCCUUUUGGUUCCUCUAGAAUUUUAGAAAGAAGUUGUAGUUGAUUGUGAAAAGCUUGGCAGUUGUAGUUGAUUGUGAAAAGCCUGGCAUACUUUUAAAGAAAUUUCACAAUCGAUUAAUAAAUAAAAAACAAUCAAUUAAUACAAGUCUAGUACAAUACAAAAAUACGAUAAACACCACAUCAAAGAUAAAUAAAAUAAUAGAAAGUCUUCCAAACAACACUUUUAACCCCAUUAAUUUCUAGAUGCUUGUCAUUCAUUGGACAUUUGAUUUGCUAGUUCCAUCCUCCAAUUUACCCAUGCAUCAGUUGGGUGAAUAUUGAUUAUAUUAGGUUCAAAAUCCUCUAUCACCUUACUAUUUAAACCUUCACUCAGCACCGCUUCAAUAGGAUCAAGACUCAUUUCAAUUCUUAUGGGUUUUUAAAAUGAAUACUCAUAUUUUUUUGCUUUUUAUACUCAUCAAAUUCGAAAACUAAUUGUAAUGGCAUUACAAAAAUAAAAUAAUUAAAUUAUGUUAAAUUAAAAUGUAAGAAUUAAAUCUAAAAUUUGAACUUAAUAAUAUUGAAACUGCAAAUAGAGAUUGAGAAUAGUAAUUGUCAUUGCCUCCUCUCCGAGGAGAGUUUUUAUUUAUAAGUCAGACUAGUGUUCACACUGUAACAUCCCAAAAUGGGGUUAGAAGAAUUAUGUUUGUGGUUGAUUGAUUGAUUAGAUUUGAGCUUGAAUGCGCAUGAUUGUUAAAGUGUGUUAAUGUAUGUUUUAGUAUAACUAAGCAUGAUUUGAAUGAUCUAUGUAUGAUAUAAGAUAUGUUAGAAUAGGAAAAAUUGACAUGAAAUAGUAGGUAUAGGUGUCAAUAUGUCAUAUAUAGGUUGGGCAUGUUUUGUUAUCUUUGCAAUUGAGUCCUGAUUUUUAUGUUAUGCAAUUGAAGCCCCUAGAUGCUAUGAAAUGACUUGAAAGUUUGCAUGAUAAAGUCUUAUUUGGAUAAUUCCAUAAUUUUACUCUUGAUUUUACAAAAAUUUUUUACUAAAAUUGUAACACCCCUAACCCCUCUCCGUCAUCAGAUUAGGGUCACAAGCGUCACUAACCAAUCACAACAUUUAAUUACAUCAUAAGUAAAUUUGCAAGCUAACUAUUUACAUCACAUCGUACCGGGAGCAAUACAUGCUAAUCUAAUAUUUCCAUAAUAGUGUUUUAUACAAUCGAAUAAUGAAUCAUACUAUGCAAUACUAAACUUGGUCUUCCACUGUCUAUACUCUUAUUACUAUUUAUCCCCUCUUGAAAACUAAAAGUUGGAUACAUAACAAGACUAUUUCAAUUAUUAGCAUCAGAGUAUUGGACCAUACUCCGACUGCUACCUUUGAUGAUAUUAGUAGAAUGACCUAUUUCACCUAACUUAAGUUUCUAUAUCAUUCCAAAUCAAAGUUAAAAAUACUUUUACAGUCCUUAUACGAGUCUACGGGACCCUAAAAAUAAUCUAAAAAUAGACAGGGGUUAAUUUGAAACAAUUCUGGAAGUUUAGGGAAAAUUUCAAAAAUACCUAAAAAUAGGGGUCACACGGCCGCAUGGCCAGGCCGUGUGGAACACCCUAGACCGUUUGACUUUUGAAGUUGGGACACACAGCCGUAUCCCAGCCCGUGUGUCUCACUGACUUAUAUCACACGGUCGUGUCACAGGCCAUGUGUCAACCCAUGUGUGUAACAGACCGUGUCUCAGGCUAUGUGUACCUAAAUGUACCUUAAAACUCAAGUUUACCAAAUUGUGUUUACUUAGACACUAAACAACCAAUUCACCAAUCAUUUAACCUAUUCAAAACUCAAUUAAACAUGCUCAAAACAAGCUAAAACAACCAUCCUAAGUGCCUAACCAAUGUAGCCUCAUUGGUACCACAUUUUAUAUCUUCAAACAUAUUAACAAAGCAUCAUCCAUUCAAAACCUUCAUUCAUACCAAAUUUCCCAUAAUUGGACUAACAUUUAGCUACUUAGGUUACCAAACCUCAAGUUAAACACAUACUAAACUUUAAGCUAAGCUAUCAUACCAAACAUAACCUCAACCACAACCAUAUAUACAAAUAACCAUCAUUUCACUUGAAAACCAAAAUAUUAUUACAUAUCAACAACAUUGAUCAAAAGACCUCCUAGGUACAUGCCAUUACAAAAAUAAACAUCACCACACUUGAGUACGGAAUCGUUGCUUAUUAUUCAAUUUAGUCUCUAAACUGAGACUAAUUUUAAUCUCCACAUUUAACUUUAUAUUUUUAUACUAAUUUCACCCUAAGCUACAUUUAGCUCCCUAUUUUCAAUUCUACCCUUUAAUUUUAAAUUAUUUGUAAUUUAGUCCCUAUUACUCAAAAUUAACAAUUAAUUUCACAAUUUAGUCAUUUUCCACUUCUAACUUAAAAAUCUAUCAAUUUAACCCCUAGUAAUUAAACUAUUCAACAAUGACAACAUCUAAAAUAUUAAACAAUACUAAAAAUUAUAACAUAAGUCGAGUAGUUCUAAGUAUCGGGAUUCCAAAAACGUAAAAAUUACAAAAAAAAUGACUAAAUUACACUAACUAAAUUUGGAUUUGAUGUCCAAACCCUCCUAAGACGUGAGUUACUUCUUUUCUUCUCCCUGUUGUUUCGAAUGCAUGUAAAAGAGAAUGAAAUUCUCUUUCACUCCACUAUCAAUUAUGUUUUAUUUUAUUUUAUUUUAAAAUUUAUUAUUAUAAUUUACACAUAUUAAAUUAACAUAAUAUAUAUUAUAUAUAUACAUAUCAUAAAUGUUUCAUUAUGACAGUCCAUUAAAAGGAAACAAGGGUGUAUUUACUUAUUUAGUCCCUUUAAUUAAUUUCAAUAUAUAAUUCAACUUUCAACGCCUACGCGAUUUAAUCCCUAUAAAUUAAUAGCUCUUUAUUCAUGAAAAUUACUUGUCCAAAAUUUAACUCGCCUCUAAUAUGACUCUGUAAAUAUUUAAUAAAAAUAUUUACGGGUUCGAUUUGUAGAAACGGAGUCCCAAAAAUACACUUUCCAACACCCCUGACUAUUAGGUUGUUACAAAAAUAUUUUACUAAAAUUACAAUUUAGUCCUUAAACUUUGCUUUAAAAAUUAAAUGAGCUUUACUUAUCAGUUCUAGAAUUUUCUUUCAAUUAUUGUCCUUAUUAAAUUGUUUUAUACCGUACAUAUUAUUUAAUUAUUGAAUUACAAAUGUUACUAAUGUCAUAUGUUAAAUAAGAAAUGAAUAUUAGACUUGUUGGUUUCCGUGUAUCUAAGCCAUCUUAUUAGAGUUUAUUAAGGGUGAAAUGAAUUGAAAUAUUAAUAUUGAGAUUUGACUAGGGAUGUUAAUUGGGUGGGGCAGGUGUGGGGGGUGCUACCCCUGUACCCAUCUUUGCCAAAAAUUUUCAUCCCCAUCCUCACCUCGCUACCCACUGCAAGUACAAAACUCAAAACCAUCCCUACCCCACCACCCACGUAGGUCCCCAGACCCACCUAAUCCUUGCUUUACCCACCCUGUAACCCACUUCACAUAAUAUAUUAUAAGUAUCAGUCAAAUAAAUAUAAACAGAUAGUAGUAAAGUAGGAGAUAAAUGAGAUAAUGAAGUAAGAGCUUUAAGUUUGCAAGUUGUGGCAUAGAGCAAUGGUGAGUAAUUUUAGGGUUUUCAUGUGAAAUAGAGAAAGUGAGAUGUGUUAAAAUUGGGUGAGAAACUAUGGAGUGCUCUCCUUUUUUUUUUUUUUGCAACUCUGGUGGUUUAUCUAUAAAUUAUCUGGCAGCUUUUAUCUACAAAUAUGUUGUGCAUUCACAACCAUCUGGCAGUGUAUUAACCUGUAACACUGGUGGUUCACCCACCCACAUUCUGGCAGCUCUUAUCUACAAAUAUGUUGUAUAUUCAUAACCAUCUGGCAACGUAUUAACCUGCAACUUUUGUGAUUUAUCCACAACCCGAUGUGUAUGAUGGACGAAUUUUGGAGAACUCUUACUAGGGUGUGUAGUGGUGGGGUAGGAUCUUUUAUGUUAAACUGAAAUUGUAUUGCUUUCAUAAACAUGUGUAUACAAUUCUGAGAUUUCUGAGAUGAUACAUAUACAUAUACAUUAUUGAGUUGAUCUGAUAUACCGAUAUUCUAAAAUUGCUAUGGUGGAUUAUUCUAUGUGAUGUAAUUUAUGUUAAUCGAUUGCACUGAUUUGUUUGUGAUGGAACUCACACUGAGCUUCAUAGCUCACUCCCCUUUUGUUUCCAUCUUUACAGAUAACUCACCAGGUUAGGAUGUAAACACGACAUUCGAAGGGUCUUGUCUCAGUUUUAAUUUAUUAAAAUGUUUUAGAUUUAUUAUUCGAUAUUUUUACAUUUUAGAGACUAUACAUGGGACUUAGGAUUUGGGUCCUGCAUGACUUUUAAUUUGACCUUAAAUAUUGAAAUAUGAAUCUUAAUUAUUUUUGCAUGAAAUUAAUUUUUAUUUAAAUCAAUUUAAUUAUCACUUUUUCGCUGCUAAAUUAUAAUUAAAAUUUGGAGUAAUAAAUAAAUUAGUAAUUAACUAAGUUUUCAAAAGUAAGUCUUCGUUACCUAAGUUGGUAAAUUUAAAUCGGUUUUUGACAACUUGAAAGUUUUCCGAAAAUAGACCAAGUUUUCAUCUAAAAUAAAACAAAUGUUUUAAUAUGAUCGUUUUAAAAAAAAAUCUGAUAGCUUAUCGAGCCAUUUCGGUGGCUAAUGUAGUCUUCCGAAUUUGAGUAUAAUGUUUAGGUCGAGUUCGGAGGUUGCAUACACUCCGCUUAUACAAGACAUUUACAAUUUUUCAAUAAUUUAUUUAAUUAAAUAAUUAUUAUUUUUAAUUAAAAUUUUAUUGAUUUAAGUAAUUAUUUACUUUUUUAUAUAAAUUAAUUUAUCUAAUUGACCUUAAGUUAGUAAUAAUAUUAUUAAUAUAUUAAAUGUAUAAAUCAAAUUGAGUAGAAUCAUUUUAAAUAAAUAAUUUAAAAUUAUUUUUAAUGGAUUGAAUUUGAAUAUUAAAUGAAAUUCUAAAUAAACCUAAAAAGAAUUAUUUUAUUUAAAAACGUAAACAAGUUAUAUAUAGAUUAAAAAUAUGACUUUUAUAAUAAUAUUAUAUUUUGGUCCUAAUUAAAACUAAACUUAUUCUAAUUUAUAAAAAUAAUUAUUUUUAAAAUAAAAUAACUUAUUUUUCAAGUGAAUAAUGGACAAAUUUUAAAUCGGCCUACAAGUAAAUACAUGGAUUAAUUCCAUUAAACAUAUAAUUUAUAAUUAAUAAAUGUUAGAUGUAGUGGUAAAGCACACUGUACUUUUGAAAUUUAGGGCCUAUUUGGAUGUGCGGUAUGUUUAUCUGUAGUUAGUGUAAAAAUGGCGGUAGUGGUGAGAUUAAAUACUAUAACGAUACUGUAGCGUGAGACAAAAAAAAGCUAAACAUACUGCAUUGAAGGCAAACGUCCAUUCAAAGGUACCCUUAGUGUUCUUCUUUUAAUUUCAAGAAUUUAACUCCACAAGGACCAAUUAAAAAUUAAAAUUCAAUUGGUAAUACUUUUAUUAGACUUUAUUGGAUUUGAAUAUAUGACGUUUUAAUAUUCAAAAGUUUGAUUUAAAAAUUAAAGUUCAAAUUGAUAACUCUUAUUUAUAGAAGCCAAUUAAUAGUGUUACAAUUGUAUUUUAAUUUUUAAAUCAAACAAAAUAAAAAGAUUAAAUUCCAAAAAAAUUAAAAAAGUAAAAGGACUGAUGGAUAAUUAAACCUUUCUUUUCUUCCCUUCUUUUCCAUCCACCAAAACAGAAAAAAGAAAAAGUCAAUGUGUCGAAAAUUAGAAGCAAAACUUCUGCAGUAUCCUAUGUAUUUUUGUCUUUAUAUAUAAUAACAUGGAAGAAGAAAAAGGAACCAACUUGCUAGUAGCCUAUUUAUGUAUUUGAAAAAAACAACAGCCGUUAGAUCUGGCAAUGUAGAUAUAAAUAUAAUAAGAUUAAAUAAUUUUUUAAUGGUAAUAAUUAAAUAAAAGGGUAAACUGUAAAAAUAGUCAUUUUUAUUUGCUUCAGAUUACAAUUUUAAUCACUUAUUUAUCGUUUUAUUAGGAAGUGGUCACUCUACUUUUAAGCUCUGUUACCUCCUUAACAACAGUCGUACGUGACAAUCCAAAUAGGUUUUAAAUGUCAACUUGGAUGCCCUACGUGACAGUCCGAAUUAAAUUUAUUUAAUUAAAAAUAUAUUUUUAUAUCAAUAACUGGACAUACGAGUUGGCAUUUAAAACUUAUUUGAAUUACCACAUAGGACUAUUGUUAGGGAGGCAACGAAGUUAAUGAUAAAGUGAUCAUUUCGUAACAAAACGAUAAUGUGCGUGAUUAAAAUAUAAUCUGAGACAAAAAAAGUGACUAUUUUUAUAGUUUACCCUAAUUCUUAAAAAAAUUAUUUAUUUGACUAUUUUCAUAGACUAUUGAAAUUCAACCUUUCUAGAACAUUACAUUGGGUUCAAACUUAACACGCAUUCAAUUAUUUGUGCACAUUUAUUUUUUCUGAUUAAAUAAAUAAUUUUGUUUGGUUCAUCAUGAAAAAGAUAUUUGUUUUUUGGGUUGUAGCUUGGAAAGAAAGACAUUCAUAUUUGGAUUACUUUGCUAUAAAUUCAAACUAUCUGACGCCAAAAUAUAUUAUCUGAUCCUUCUCCACCUUGUCUUUCUCACAGUUUUUCUUGAUUUUUGCCUUUCCCAGACUUAAAAGCUUCGGUUUUUAUUUUCACUUUGAAAAACGAAAAUGGAUAAGAUUAAGAGUAUGAUGCGCGCUGUUCAGUACAGUAAAUAUGGCGGAGGAGUCGCCGAUCUCAAGGUAAUAUACUUGCUUCUUUUGAUUAUGUUUAUUUCUUGAGUUUAAAAGUUUGAUUAAAAGUUUAAAAUGGAGGUUUAAUUAAAAUUUGUGAUUUAGUCCUUAAUCUUAUAGAGUUUUAUGGAUAUAAGGCUGGGUGAAGGGGGGGGGGGGGUUUAAUUAGCUAAUUAAAUUAGGAUCGUUGAUUAAAUUUUGAGGUACCGACACCAUCCGUAAAAUCUUGAGAUGUGCUGAUUUUUCUACACGUGUCUACCUUGAUGGCUCAUCGUCACCUCCAUCGGUGCUGCUCUUCUCAUACUGCCGAUUAAGACUUCGGAUCUAUACACUUCUUAAUUCUUGAAAUUUCUCAAGUUUUUUCUUUUAGGUUUUUUUCAUGCUUUCUUUAGGAUUUUUAUUACAAGUGAAAUUAAGAUGCCUAGAAUAGAUGUUGUCUAAGAAUCGAAUCAGCGAAAUGAAAUAUCGAAAAUUUUGGUUGUUUAUUAAAAUAUUAAGUUGGUUUUGAGGUUUGAGUCCAAAGCCGAAUUGAUUCUUUCACUAACAUGGGAAAACUUAAAUAAUUUUGAGAUCAAAUUGUAAUUUUAUUAAACUCAUGAAAUGGAUUCCAUUAGCACGGGAAUUCCAGUAAGAGUACGAGACUGAGAGAUUGACGGCAAAGUCAACUUCUUUUUUUUUUUUUUUUGCAUAUAUGCAUUUCCAGCAUUUCUUUACUUUGAUGAACUUGAAAAAAAAAUUGCUAAUGACCUGAUUUUAUAACGAGUGUGAAUUUUGUGGGUGUUGCAGCAUGUUGAAGUUCCGGUUCCCAGUCCAAAAAAGGAUGAAGUUUUGAUCAAAGUAGAGACAGCUAGUAUUAACCCAAUCGACUGGAAACUACAGGAUGGGGUAGCUCGGCCAUUUUUACCUCGGAAAUUCCCCCACAUUCCUGGUACUUUACUUUUCUCUGGAUGGUUCAACUCUAUGGGUUAAUCCGAAGCAUCAAAACUUUUCUUUCUGUGAUUGCUUGUUUAUCAAUCAUUUGCUAAACAACUUUUGGUCGAGCAGGUACCGAUGUAGCAGGAGAAGUCGUACAAGUUGGAUCAGAAGUCCAGAGUUUCAAAGUUGGGGAGAACGUUGUUGCCGUACUUGGUGUAAGUACUCAUUCUUAUUCUGAAGUUUGUUGCAUACUUGCAUGAGAGAAACAUAUGUAUGUUUGAUACAUUGGACAGUUUGUUGCUUCAAGCUAUACAACACUCAGGCCAUAGAUUCUUUUUCACCUUAUUAUUCAUUUCCUUGUUUUAUGUGUUAUCUAGCAUCAUUUGUGUCCUGGUUCUUGCCAAUAUCUUAUUAUUUGAAUAUAUUUUGCAAUUACAGAAUGGAGGUGCACUAGCUGAAUAUGCUGUGGCUAAUGAAGGUUCCACAGUUUCAAGGCCUCCAGAGGUAUCAGCCCGUGAAGCUGCAGCUUUGCCAAUUGCUGGCCUCGCAGCUCACCAGUCACUCACCCAGCUUGCUGGGAUCAAACUCGAUGGAACCGGCCCAGAAGUGAAUGUAUUGGUUACCGCUGCUUCAGGUGGUGUAGGUCAAUAUGCCGUUCAACUCCUAAAGCUCGCAAAUGCACACAUUACAGCCACUUGUGGGGCUCGUAACAUAGAUUUAGUCAGGAGCCUGGGGGCUGAUGAGGUUCUUGACUACAAAACUCCUGAUGGGGUGGCUCUCAAGAGCCCUUCUGGUCGAAAAUACGAUGUAAUCAUCCACUGUGCACACAACAUUCCUUGGUCUACCUUUGAGGCUAACUUGACUUCAAAAGGGAAGGUAGUAGAUACCACUCCUGGUUUCGGCACUUUGAUGAGUGUUGCUUUCAAAAAGAUAACAUUCGCAAAGAGGCAACUCAUACCCUUGUUUACCUCACCUAAGAAAGAGAACCUUGA
RNAcentral lists this long non-coding RNA (25043 nucleotides) under Gossypium barbadense (sea-island cotton). RNAcentral's name for it is "long non-coding RNA (GBAR_LNC018150)". The record is from RNAcentral. Lineage: Eukaryota; Viridiplantae; Streptophyta; Magnoliopsida; Malvales; Malvaceae.